RNAcentral lists this ribosomal RNA (253 nucleotides) under uncultured bacterium. RNAcentral's name for it is "partial 16S ribosomal RNA". It matches the Rfam family "Bacterial small subunit ribosomal RNA", at positions 524 to 776 of the family's 1533-position model. The record is from RNAcentral.
UACGUAGGGUGCGAGCGUUAAUCGGAAUUACUGGGCGUAAAGCGUGCGUAGGCGGUCCCGCAAGUCCGCUGUGAAAGCCCCGAGCUUAACUUGGGAACUGCAGUGGAAACUAUGGGACUUGAAUCCGGCAGAGGGGGGUGGAAUGCCACGUGUAGCAGUGAAAUGCGUAGAGAUGUGGCGGAACACCGAUGGCGAAGGCAGCCCCCUGGGCUGAGAUUGACGCUCAGGCACGAAAGCGUGGGGAGCAAACAGG